UACGGAGGGUGCAGGCGUUAAUCGGAAUUACUGGGCGUAAAGCGUGCGCAGGCGGUUUGUUAAGACAGAUGUGAAAUCCCCGGGCUUAACCUGGGAACUGCGUUUGUAACUGGCAAGCUAGAGUGUGGCAGAGGGGGGUGGAAUUCCAAGUGUAGCAGUGAAAUGCGUAGAUAUUUGGAGGAACACCAAUGGCGAAGGCAGCCCCCUGGGUUAACACUGACGCUCAUGCACGAAAGCGUGGGGAGCAAACAGG
RNAcentral lists this ribosomal RNA (253 nucleotides) under uncultured bacterium. RNAcentral's name for it is "partial 16S ribosomal RNA". It matches the Rfam family "Bacterial small subunit ribosomal RNA", at positions 524 to 776 of the family's 1533-position model. The record is from RNAcentral.